CCUACGGGAGGCUGCAGUAGGGAAUUUUCGUCAAUGGGCGCAAGCCUGAACGAGCAAUGCCGCGUGAACGAGGAAGGUCUUCGGAUCGUAAAGUUCUGUUGAAGGGGAAAAAGAGCGGAGAGAGGAAAUGGUCUCCGAUUGAUAUUACCCUUCGAGGAAGUCACGGCUAACUACGUGCCAGCAGCCGCGGUAAUACGUAGGUGGCGAGCGUUAUCCGGAAUGAUUGGGCGUAAAGGGUGCGUAGGCGGCCUGCUAAGUCUGGAGUGAAAGGUACCGGCUCAACCGGUACAGGCUCUGGAAACUGGCGGGCUAGAGAGAAGGAGAGGGCGGUGGAACGCCAUGUGUAGCGGUAAAAUGCGAAGAUAUAUGGAAGAACACCAGUGGCGAAGGCGGCCGCCUGGCCUGUUGACUGACGCUGAGGCACGAAAGCGUGGGGAGCAAAUAGGAUUAGAUACCCGGGUAGUC
This 465-nucleotide ribosomal RNA is filed under the name uncultured bacterium. RNAcentral describes it as "partial 16S ribosomal RNA". It matches the Rfam family "Bacterial small subunit ribosomal RNA", at positions 338 to 795 of the family's 1533-position model. The record is from RNAcentral.